RNAcentral lists this long non-coding RNA (1194 nucleotides) under Setaria viridis. RNAcentral describes it as "long non-coding RNA (SVIR_LNC009289)". Lineage: Eukaryota; Viridiplantae; Streptophyta; Magnoliopsida; Poales; Poaceae. The record is from RNAcentral.
AUUAGUCAUCGUCUGAAAUAAAUUAGCAUGAUGAGUAGCUAGGUGUGAGAUCAUUUUUAUUUUAUUGAAACCAUCGAUAUUAUUUGAUGGUCUAAAAUAAAUUAGCAUGAUGAGUAGCUAGGACUCUUUUCUAGAAAAGGAAUGGUUCCAAUGGGUCAUUGAAUUAUGUUUCUAUUCAACAACUAUUGAGGACUCGUAAUCAAAAGAAAAAACAGCAGGUAUGAAUACCAAUGUGAUUUGUCUUUGAAAUGGUGGGUAAUAUGGUAUCUAUGAUAUGUCAAUAAAGUUCAUCAAACUGGCGGGGAUCUUGUCAUCUCAAACGGUAUAUGAUAUUAUUACAGGGUGCUCCUUAAUUUACUUUAUGUCUUUACUAUAUCAAUAUGAUCAUUAGUUUGCACGUGAUAAGUUAUUCCAUGCACUUAAUCACCAAGGUUCCUACAUUAAAUUAAUAAAUUCUAUGUGUGUUCAGAAAGCAUGGACAACCAAAAUAUUUAGAGAAAGAUUUAUGCCUAUAUGCUGGUGAUGGACAACUAGAAGAAUGAAGAAUUAUAGAAAGGUUUAUUGGUGACUGCUGGUGCUGAUGGGGCAUGAAUAGAUCAAUAACAGAACUUAUAUUUAGUUUUAUUUUAUUGUGCCAAACAUAGUUGCAAACUUGUAGUCGGAGAUGAUGUUUUUAUUCAGCUGUGUUCAUAUUUAUUUUAGCAGUACUCUGGUCAUUAUGUUAUUACUUUGGUUAAGACAUAUUUGAAGUUAAUGAAGGUUUGAGUUCUUAUAUGUGACGAUGAAAUAUAUUCUCAUGGCACAAUUAUUUUGUAACAACAAUUAAAUUUCAGUCUAUAGAAGAAAAUUGUAAAGGCGCUAGCCAAAAUGCUCUCAUUGCAACAAACCACAUCGGAACCACCAUUUGUUAUUACAAUAUACAUUAUUUUCCUAAACUUUAUGUGUUUCUAUAGGACGUGUCUACUACCAACAAUGAUUUGUUGCAUUUUCCAUCUAUUACCACCAACAAUGAUUCGUUGUAUUUUCCAUCGAUUACCACCAAUAAUGAUUCGUUGCAUUUUCCAUCUAUUACCACCAACAAUGAUUCGUUGCAUUACCCUUUAUUGCCACAUGCAAAUGAACGUUGUAAUUGACUCUAGCCACCAAAUUUGUUACUUUGCAAUAUUUAUUUGAUGCAAUGGAGCAUACUUCAUG